UACGUAGGGUGCGAGCGUUGUCCGGAAUUAUUGGGCGUAAAGGGCUCGUAGGCGGCCAACUAAGUCAGACGUGAAAUCCCUCGGCUUAACCGGGGAACUGCGUCUGAUACUGGAUGGCUUGAAUCCGGGAGAGGGAUGCGGAAUUCCAGGUGUAGCGGUGAAAUGCGUAGAUAUCUGGAGGAACACCGGUGGCGAAGGCGGCAUCCUGGACCGGCAUUGACGCUGAGGAGCGAAAGCCAGGGGAGCAAACGGG
Molecule: ribosomal RNA, 253 nt
Filed under: uncultured bacterium
Lineage: Bacteria
Description: partial 16S ribosomal RNA
Rfam family: Bacterial small subunit ribosomal RNA
Source: RNAcentral